UAUCGAAUGGAGCGGCACCGUCGGAUGCGAAGGGAACUGCGCAUCAUGUGGACUUCCCAGGAGACCUAGGCGCAGCACCGGCUCUGGGAGGGCUGUAUCGAAGACCUCCGACGUGCCAAGCGAAACGGAGGCGUCUACGAGGAGAUCUCGAAGGAGCUGCAGCGUUGCGAGACCAUGAAAAGCAAGGGCCAGGUCCAUCACAAGAUAGAAAAUCUGACCAACAUGUACCGAUCUCCUCAUGAAGACCUACACUCCAUAUAGGGGAAGUGGCAUUCAAGACGUGACAGAGGACAGUUGCGAAGCCCCCCUAGAUGACGACUCCCUCGACCAUAGCCUGCAGCCAACAGACACCUGCCAGAUGUUGCUGACGCUGGAGGGGGAUGGCCAGCUGCCCAGCACAUCUCGGCUGGAGCCGACUCAUCCGGUGUCACCACCUCAAGUGGCUCCAGUGGCAGCACCGACGCAGGCUACGGUUUCACCUGCUGUGCUUCCAGACCCACCUUCAAGAAAGCCAGGCCACAAGGCAACCGCCUCAGAGCGUGAUGCCAGAGAGUAUGCAUCACUGUGCAAGAUUCUCAGUUCCUUGUAGCCAGCCUCACGUUAAGGAUGGUGAACUUACUUCCUGGUGGGCAGAUCGACUGCAUGCCGCGUGGUGUCCGAUGUCUGCGAUGCUCGAUGGGAUAUACUUCAGCCCGUGCACCUGAUCUGCCCGCAGACAGCUGAGGAAUGG
This 730-nucleotide unclassified non-coding RNA is filed under the name Ixodes scapularis (black-legged tick). RNAcentral describes it as "uncharacterized LOC8031375, transcript variant X3". The record is from RNAcentral. Lineage: Eukaryota; Metazoa; Arthropoda; Arachnida; Ixodida; Ixodidae.